Long non-coding RNA from Cyprinus carpio (common carp), 1050 nucleotides. The record is from Ensembl. NCBI's taxonomy places the organism in Eukaryota, Metazoa, Chordata, Actinopteri, Cypriniformes, Cyprinidae.
AUGAUAGAUUGGAUCCGGACAAACCAUCAUUGCUGGCGUUGUGGGCAGAAACACCAGGCAGCUCAGUGCACACUUAAGAAGCCUCGCAGUAUCUGCCAGGGUAAGCAUUUGCAAAUCUUGCGUGAGGUCAACACAAAGGGUGGCAAAGAAUAUUCCUGCCUUGUCAGCUCGACUGCAGAGACCCUGUACUUGGAUAGACCCACUGACUGCAGACGUGUUCUCCCGAAAGUCAUCAGAGUCUUGCUUCACUACGGAGGUAAAGCGCUCGACACCUAUAUUGUCAUGGAUGACGGGUCUGAGCGGACUAUACUUCUUCCUGAUACUACCAAUGGUCUCGGAAUACAAGGCCAAGCUGAAAACAUAGCUUUGUGGACAAUUCGCCAAGAGGUGCAGACUGUCAGUGGUGCAUUGGUUUCCUUUCACAUAUCUCCAGCAGAUCAGCCUCAGAUGUUGUUUAAGAUUGCAGCUGCCUUUACAGCUAAACGCCUUGGUUUGGCUAAUCACUCAUAUCCUUUGAGCAUCCUUAAGAAAUACAAGCACCUGAAAGAUCUUGCCCUGCAGACCUUUGAAAAGGUAUGUCCUCUAGUGCUCAUUGGGGCUGAUAAGACCCACCUGAUAACACCAAUAGAACCUGUCCAUCUUGGCCCACCCGAUGGUCCGGCCGCCAUCAAAACAAGGCUUGGAUGGACCCUGCAGGGACCAGUCAAGCUCCUGGAUACUCAGUUGCAGCCACAACAGUGCCUGUUCCUGUCUCUUAGCCCCGCAGUACUGGAACUCAAACGAGAUGUUGAGAAGUUACGGCAACUUGAUGUUCCGCCUUUCCGAUGUGAGAAGCAGGUCACAAGAUCCAGGGAGGAUCGGCAAGCCAUUAACCUUCUAGAGACCAGGAUGACUUGUGUGGAGGUAAAUGGGAUAUUACGCUAUGCGACACCCUUGCUGCGCAUAAAGGAUUCCCCCUUUUUCCAUGCUCCGAAGGAGGCGGUGAUGCCAAGCCUCAGGGCGGCACUCGCUCCCCAGCCUCCCGGUGUUGGGUGGCCUCCGCCAGCUUGA